This is a long non-coding RNA of Leucoraja erinaceus (little skate), 3882 nucleotides long. RefSeq lists it as uncharacterized. The record is from RefSeq and is a predicted model, not a curated record. The transcript is spliced from 5 exons. NCBI's taxonomy places the organism in Eukaryota, Metazoa, Chordata, Chondrichthyes, Rajiformes, Rajidae.
AGUCGUACAGUGUACCGACUAGGUCAGCAUGUACAAGGUGGACCGAAGGGACGGUUUCUAUGACUCUUUGUGACUAGCCCGAUAUUAAUAUCUCAAUCUUUUUUUUUGUUGAAACUGUAGAAAUAACUUGUGACAUUUCAUAUACAAAUGCAAAUACAAAUGCAAGCUGGCGUUUCUCAGAGACGUUUAAUAAUUACUAGCACAGAAUACUUUAGUUCCUUGUUGCUGGUUUAUAGCAGUCGACAGGGGCAGUUCUACCAAAGGUGCGGCUUUAAGAACCAUCAUUACCUUGACAGGUUAAAACAAGGCGUGACAUCUCCCAGCAUGGGACAUAGGUGCUCCGUCCACAAGGACUAACAUGGUACAACGAUAAACAGGCUACUCACCAAACGAGAUAAUCAGAGAGAAUAUCAGAAACUUUGCAAUCUUCAAAGAAGUCGAACGAGGCAACUCCAUCCCUAGAUCCAGAGUGGAUUGGAGGGCCAGCGAGGUCGCAUCCACCGUUGAUCUGUUGUGGCGGUCGAGCUAAGGGGAAGAUACAGGGUGCGGAAUAUAGUUCUCAGCAUUGUAGCAGCACCAGUUCCAGAGACAAAGUCCAAUGUCUUCAAUGAGGUAGAGGUAAACCGAACAGUACCCUAGCUUAUGGAAGGGCUGAUCAGAAGCCUGAUAACAGAGGGGAAGAAGCCGUUCCCAAAUUUCCUUUGCUCCAUUGAUGCUGCCUCACCCGUUGAGUUUCUCCAGCAUUUUUGUCUACCUCCGAGUCUGAUGGUGCUCGCUUUCAAGCUUCUGUACCUUCUGCCAGAUGGGAACAGGGAGAAGGAGGAAUGAACAAGUCACGGUGUUCCAGGUCACAAGAUUGGCAGCAACAAAUGGAGACACAAGGAACUGCAGAUGCUGGAAUCAAGAGCAGAACACAAAGUGCUGGAGGAACUCAGCAGGUCAGGCAGCAUCUGUGGAGGGAAUGGACAGGCGACGUUUCAGGUUCAUUUAGGAUGCGGAAGACAAAGCAUAUAAAACACAGAAAUGUAGAGCACAGGAACAGGCCCUUGGGCCCGCAAUGUCCAUGCUGAACAUGACGCCCAGAACUGUCUGCAUAUGAUCCAUAUCCAUGAAUAAAUCUGAAGUGAUCAUACAGGUUGCAAUUUAGAUCAAGUUGUUUUUGAUAGUAUACUAUGUGACAUACAAACAUGCCUUACAAUAGCUGGCAAAAUCUUUCACUUAGCAAAUUGCAUAAUCCUUUGUCGGGACCAAAAUAACUCUCAGUACUUGGGAAGGUAACUAAGUUUAGAAAUGAAGGGAAUGAGUGGUAUGCAGUGCUGUGUUCUCUCGUAUGAAAUCGCCCAGCAAAGUACAGAUGAGAGGCUAGAGAAAAAUAACUCAAAAGGUGACAAUUAUGAAGCAUACACAAUGUGUAAUUAUCUCUUUUCCCCAGCAAAUCUAUUUUUGAGAGCAUGGUGUUGAUGCAUUCUUUGAAAGCACUUUCAUUGUGACUUGCUUACUACAUAGUACAACCAGUGUCAAAUUAAAUCCCCACAGAGUGAAAUUCCUUAAACAGUCCUCGAAAGAAACAAACACAAACAUACACUAGUUCUAUCCUACACACACGGGCCAAAAAGGUUCUGGAACGAAGGGCGACACUAAAUCAGUGGUGGACCUGUAUUAAUAAUGUAAACUCACCCGCUUUACAAUUUAACUCUAGCACUUACAAUAUUCCAAAAGAAACAACAUAAGAUAUAAUCCCGAGAUCGAUUUAAUCGAUAAGGGUAGGCCGAAACAAAACUAGUAUUUCAACUAAUAAACCAAACUAUUAUUCCAACGAUGCAUAGUUGGCAGAUUUUCACUCAUCUGUACAACACACACUCAUUUGCACACACACAUACACACAGAUGUGCGGCAUGGAACAGCUGGUUUAGCUUCUCCGGAGAUUACCAGCCAUUGGUGGUCACUUCUGCAGCUGGGAAGUCAGCAGAGGCUGUAACCAUUGCACUAUGCUGCAAAUAAACGUUCAGAUCUGGGUGAUUCUCCACGGCGGGUUAAAGUGCCUGAGUAAGUGCCUGAAGUAAGUGCCAGUUUUUCCAACUUUUAACAUUAUGGAGGUAUUUAAAUAAUGCAAUGUGAGACACAUGUGAACAAUAAUUGCUACUCAACGAUAAAGAGAUCAACAAGGAAAUGGCAGUAGUGGAAAUGUUUUUGCUGAGAGUCAUAGCAUGGCAACAGGCCCUUCGGCCCAACUUGCCCACACCAACCAACAUGUCCCAUCUACAGUAAUCCCAACUGCUUGUGUUUGGCCCAUAUCCCUCUAAACCUGUCCUAUCCAUGUACCUGUCUAACUGUUUCAUAAAUGUUGCAAUAGUACCUGCCUCAACUACCUCUUCUGGCAGCUUGUUCCAUACACCCACCACCCUUCUGAGUAAAAAAAGUUACUCCUUAGGUUCUUAUUAAAUCUACCCCCUUGUUCUCGAUUCCCCUACUCUGCAAUACCCUACAUUAUUAAUCUCAUGAUUUUGUCCACCUCUAUAAAAUCACCCCUCAUCUGCACUCCACUCCUCCUAGUCUGCUCAACAUAUUGCUCAGGCCCUUGAGUCUUGGCAACAUCCUCAAAUUUUUUCUGCACCCUUUCCAGCUUGACAAUAUAUUUCCUAUAACCUGGUGACCAAAACAGAACACAAUACUCUAAAUCAGGCCUCGCCAACAUCUUAUGUACCAGGAACACAAUCUCCCAACUUCUAUACUCAGUACUCUGACAGUUGCCUGACCCGCUGAGUUACUCCAGCAAUUUGUGUCCACUCCUCGAUCUCUCUGCUCUAAACAUACCCAGAGCCCUACCAUUCUGGGGAGUGUUGUAGAGCAGAGAGAUGUAGGAGUGCAGGUAGUGGUGGCACAGGUCACAUUGCUAUUGAAUCAUUUCACCCCGUGACUGUCCCUUACGACUGAUAGUGAUGCUAGCCACUAGCCCUUUCUUCUCCCAAGGGAUAUUUGAAGGAGAUUAAUAUAUCUUAUUUCCCUCCCAAAGUUUGGCUGACUUUGAUCAGAUGGUGCGGAAGCAGAAAGAUUAAAGUGCGCGCAGUUUUUUACCAUCGUGCUAAUCUUUGUUGGCAACGCCACGAUUUUUCAUUCCAUCCCCACUGGGAAGGCAGCCUUUUCAGUGUCUCAUCACAUUGAUGGUGGUGGGAAGAAAGUCCACCCAAUAUUCCCUUCCAACUACCCUCCCAUUUAUUCUGCCCAUACUCUCGCCGAAGAAAAAUGUUUGCCUUACAGUGCUAAAGACUCCAGGUGCUGUCUGUACAGAGCUUGUACGUUCUCCCUGUGACCGUGUGGCAUUCAGCACCACAUGUUUCACUUGGGCAGCUUGCAACCCAGUGGUGUUCAUUCAAGUAACCCUUGCAUCUCCUUCCUCUCUGUCCUUCCCCCACCCUAGUUUCACUGUCAUCCUGCUUAGUUCCACUGUUUGUAUCAUCUUCUCCACAGCCUACAACAGACCAUUGUGGGCUCCAUUGAUCAUUGUUGUUAGUUUUGAUUUGUUCUUUUCACACCUUUCAUUCAUUUGCUCUUUGUAACUUUUCAUACCUCUAGUUUCUCUCUCCCCGAGUCUGAAGAAGCCUCUUGAUCCGAAACGCCACCUAUUCCUUUUCUCCAGAGAUGUUGCCUGAUCCUCUGAGUUACUCCAGCAUUUUGCAUCUGAGCCAGAGAUAGCGUUGCUUUUUCAUUUGCUAUUACAGGUUGAAGACUGGAGGGCUGUACAACCAGUCUGGCAAGUAAUGUCUACUUGCUCAAGAACCUUUAAGAAAAUGCAGGAAUUAUAAAGUUAGAGUACCUUGCAAUCAUGGACAUUUGUCAGACCAAAUGCCUUGGACCAAUGCACCUGUAAUAAUGUAAUCCAGA